Molecule: unclassified non-coding RNA, 850 nt
Filed under: Hevea brasiliensis (rubber tree)
Lineage: Eukaryota; Viridiplantae; Streptophyta; Magnoliopsida; Malpighiales; Euphorbiaceae
Source: RNAcentral
UAAUUAGGUGCCUUACAAUGUUAACAACUUGAAAUCACCAUAUGAGUUGUUGUUUGGUACAAAGCCUAAUAUUAAGCAUUUUUGAGUUUUUGGUUCUAUAUGUUAUGUUCACAUACUUUCAACUUAAAGGAGGAAAUUGGAUGCAAAGGCUGAAAAGUGUAUUUUUAUUGGCUAUGAUGAUAGAAAGAAGGGUUAGAAAUGCAUUGACCUAAAACAAAAAAGUGUGUAGUGUCUAGAGAUGUUGUAUUUGAUGAAAUCUCUUCUUAUCAUUCAUUACAAGAUAUUGACAUUUAUGAUGGUCACGAAAAUAAGGAAGCUUAUUGUUAUUCCAAAGAAGAGGUGUUAUUGCCAAUUUCAUCAAAUGACUCUAAUGCUAAUGGGUCCUCCUCUAUCUUAUUCUCCAUUGAUCCAAGAGCAAGUUGGCAAGGAGAAAGGUCAAAUAGAACAUGAUCAACCCCAUUAAGAAGAACAAAUGGAUACUAUAGAUAUUUCAUCUCUACCAUCUCUUAGAAAAUCAAAAAGAAAAAUUGUGCAACCAGCUCCAAACAGGGACAAUAAUUUUGUUAGCAUGGUUUCUUAUUUUUUUGCUGGUCCUAUUGAUGAAAAUGAACCUACUUGUUUUAAUGAUGCCAAAGAUUUCAAAGAAUGGAAAGAUGCUAUGGAUGAAGAAAUGGGAGCACUUUACAAAAAUAAAACUUGGGAUUUUAUAUCUUAGCCACAAAAUGUGUGCUUAUGAUGUGCAAAUGGAUCUAUAAAAUCAAAAGAAUAGCAAAUGGAAGUGUGGAAUGUUACAAAGCAAGGCUAGUUGCUAUGGUUUUUCCACAAAAAUAUGGAGAAGAAUAUAAAGAAA